RNAcentral lists this small RNA (452 nucleotides) under Arabidopsis thaliana (thale cress). RNAcentral describes it as "ATSL019850". Lineage: Eukaryota; Viridiplantae; Streptophyta; Magnoliopsida; Brassicales; Brassicaceae. The record is from RNAcentral.
UAUUUUUUUUGUCAUAUCAUCUUAUUGAUUUAUAAAUCAGCAGUGUAGUCACAAUGUAGAGCAUAGGUUAUUACAUUAGGAACCCAGAAAUGAUUCAGGAAUAAAGAUUGGUUUUGGAGAGGAGCUUUAGCAAGAAUAUCAGCUGGAGUAUUGUGAUGUCUUCUUAUCCAAUUGAAAUGGAUUGAUUCAAACUUCCUUAACCACCAAUGAAUGUCCCGUAUCCAGUUGUGAACGCCAAAAUAUACCUUGGAUCCGUUAAUUAGGUCAAACAGCAUCUUGUUAUCUCCUUCAAAGCAAACCCGUUUGUAACCAUGACUCCAACAGUGCUGCAUUGAAAUGAUUAGCGCUUGAAUUUCACUCUCCAGAGCAUUGUCCACCUUUCUUCCUAUAGCCUGCCCCGCCAGUAGAUAACUUCCAUUACUAUCCCGAACAACCCAACCUGCUUUACUUUU